ACCCCUUGAGAGUGGCGAACGGGUGAGUAAUAUAUCGGAACGUGCCCAGUCGUGGGGGAUAACGUAGCGAAAGUUACGCUAAUACCGCAUACGAUCUAAGGAUGAAAGCGGGGGACUCGCAAGAGCCUCGCGCGAUUGGAGCGGCCGAUAUCAGAUUAGGUAGUUGGUGGGGUAAAGGCUCACCAAGCCAACGAUCUGUAGCUGGUCUGAGAGGACGACCAGCCACACUGGAACUGAGACACGGUCCAGACUCCUACGGGAGGCAGCAGUGGGGAAUUUUGGACAAUGGACGAAAGUCUGAUCCAGCCAUUCCGCGUGCAGGAUGAAGGCCCUCGGGUUGUAAACUGCUUUUGUACGGAACGAAAAGGUCUCUAUUAAUACUAGGGGCUCAUGACGGUACCGUAAGAAUAAGCACCGGCUAACUACGUGCCAGCAGCCGCGGUAAUACGUAGGGUGCAAGCGUUAAUCGGAAUUACUGGGCGUAAAGCGUGCGCAGGCGGUUAUAUAAGACAGAUGUGAAAUCCCCGGGCUCAACCUGGGAACUGCAUUUGUGACUGUAUAGCUAGAGUACGGUAGAGGGGGAUGGAAUUCCGCGUGUAGCAGUGAAAUGCGUAGAUAUGCGGAGGAACACCGAUGGCGAAGGCAAUCCCCUGGACCUGUACUGACGCUCAUGCACGAAAGCGUGGGGAGCAAACA
RNAcentral lists this ribosomal RNA (696 nucleotides) under Curvibacter sp. A6. RNAcentral's name for it is "bacterial SSU rRNA". It matches the Rfam family "Bacterial small subunit ribosomal RNA", at positions 84 to 774 of the family's 1533-position model. Lineage: Bacteria; Pseudomonadati; Pseudomonadota; Betaproteobacteria; Burkholderiales; Comamonadaceae. The record is from RNAcentral.